RNAcentral lists this long non-coding RNA (351 nucleotides) under Malus domestica (apple). RNAcentral's name for it is "long non-coding RNA (MDOM_LNC018187)". The record is from RNAcentral. Lineage: Eukaryota; Viridiplantae; Streptophyta; Magnoliopsida; Rosales; Rosaceae.
GCUCCCGUGAUCCAGCCUGCUCCCGUCGAGCAACCCACUCCCGUGGCCCAGCCUGCUCCUGCCAAGCAGCCCACUCCCGUGGCCCAGCCUACUCCUGCCAAGCAGCCUACUUCCGUGGCCCAGCCUGCUCCCGCCAAGCAACCUGCUCCUGCCAAGCAGCCUGCUUCCGUGGCCCAGCCUGCUCCCGCCAAGCAACCUGCUCCUGCCAAGCAGCCUGCUCUCGUGACCCAGCCUGCUCCCAACGAGCAGCCCACUCCCGACGAGCAGCCCACUCUCAAGGCCCACACUGCUCCCGUGGCUUUCCAAGCAGCCCAAGUCGGCCCAAAACUAUCUCAACCAUCUGGACCUACC